Molecule: ribosomal RNA, 274 nt
Filed under: uncultured bacterium
Lineage: Bacteria
Description: partial 16S ribosomal RNA
Rfam family: Bacterial small subunit ribosomal RNA
Source: RNAcentral
AUACGGGGGGUGCAAGCGUUAAUCGGAAUUACUGGGCGUAAAGCGCGCGUAGGCGGUUUGCUCAGUCGGAUGUGAAAGCCCAGGGCUCAACCUUGGAACUGCAUACGAUACUGGCAAACUCGAGUGUGAGAGAGGAUAGUGGAAUUUCCGGUGUAGCGGUGAAAUGCGUAGAUAUCGGAAGGAACAUCAGUGGCGAAGGCGACUGUCUGGCUCAACACUGACGCUGAGGUGCGAAAGCGUGGGUAGCAAACAGGAUUAGAAACCCUAGUAGUCC